RNA transcript from Zea mays, 1682 nucleotides. RefSeq lists it as uncharacterized. The record is from RefSeq and is marked validated. The transcript has 2 exons. NCBI's taxonomy places the organism in Eukaryota, Viridiplantae, Streptophyta, Magnoliopsida, Poales, Poaceae.
CUUCUCCCUCGCCGCGAGAGUGCUCAACCUGGUGUCCUGGAUAAGGCAACGGGAUAGGAAGCGAUAAUUGGCGGAGAGUGAAGGUUCCCGUCCUAGGCCGAAGUCCUCGUUGUUGCCGGAAGAAGUACCGCAUGACUUCGCCGGGUAGCGGCGGAUCGACGACUGCAAGUUAUGUAGCCAAUUCGCCCCCCUACUUGUAGAUCUGGGUUUUUGUAAAGUUUAUCCGGAAGCUACUUGUAGAUCUGGGUUUUUGUAAAGUUUAUCCGGAAGAUUUGUAUGGAUUGGGGUAGAUCCGAAGUACAUAUCCAUCCCACGCUUGGGGUUUUAGGGUAUGACACUCGCACCUUUGGAUUGUAGUAGAUGUUCGUCCGUAUGCAACCAUUUUGUUGUUGUCGUCGGCUGUUUCGACUAGAAAAAUACAAACCCUAGGAUAUUACACUACGAUUUAGUUUCAUAUCUUUCGCUUCAAAUGCGGCAAAGUGUAGUUAACAUCUUUUUGAAUCACUGCUAGAUGUCCUACACUCCAAAAGACGCCCUGGAAUGGGCUGUUCGGGAGAUGGAGGACCACACCUGUCAAAUUAGGUAGCUUGUCGGCAGUGCUACAAGCACACCAAUGCCAACCGAGCAUCUGAAAUGUGUUAACCUCAAGAUUUUUAAGCUCGCGGACUGGCUUGACAAGGUUUCAAUCCUAUGCUUCGAGGUUGUCGAGAAGGAUGGAAGCAACCACCUCGAUGACAACACCACAGAGGAAGAACUUGAAGCAGCUCGUGAGAUAGAACUUGAAAGGCUCCCCACUCCCGAAACUCUUAAAAACCUUGAGGACUUUUGUGAGGAAUGGGGUAUGCAGUAUGACAACGAUCAAUCUCGUGGGAUCAACUAGGAGUAAUUGUAGAAUAAUGUAAGGUUCAGAGAGAUGUAGCACAUGGAACUUGUUAUGUGUCAAUGUAAAAUGGUAAUGUGAACUCUAGUGUCUUGUGGAGUCAAUGUGAACCAUGAAGUGCCAUGUUUGGAGUUAUGAACUACAUGCUUAUGAAAUGAUGAUGGCUUCUUCCGAUUUUGCAUUGUGUUGUUGUGUUUAAUACAAUUGCAGUCGUACUCAUUACUACAAAAUUUUGCCCAUUUAUCACUCAAGUUUCCUAUGGACAACUCUUGGCCUCGUUUUCCAUUUCACAGUAUGUACGAAGUAACCUAUACUCCAAGAUUGGAACUGUCAACAGAUCAAGCAUGGAACAACUAGGAAGGGUUCUAGAAUCCUAACGAGGCAAUGCAAGGCAUACAAGACCUUGUUCAGGAUGAGCUGCCGCCAAUGAGUUCUAAAAAGAAAACAGUUCACAAGAGGCUCAAAAAUUUCACUGCAACUGAGGAUGAAUGUCUUGUAUCAACGUACUUAAAUGUUAGCACAGACCCAAUUGUGGGUGUGAACCAACCAAUAAAAGGCUACUAACAGAGGAUCGCUAACUACUGCGAAGAACACAAGAAAACUCCAGUUUCUCCGACCAUAUCCUCCCUACAGCAUUGGUGGGCAGACAUUCAAAGGGACACUUCAAGGUUUUGUGGAUUCUUUGCCCAAGUUGAAAGGCGCAAACAGAGUGGUGUGAACGAAUCUGACAAGGUUGGUUUAUGGUUUGGUUACUCUAUACAACUGGCAGUGCAUUCAAGUUCAUGCAUUGCUGGUUGAUGCU